CCUACGGGUGGCAGCAGUGAGGAAUAUUGGUCAAUGGACGAGAGUCUGAACCAGCCAAGUAGCGUGAAGGAUGACUGCCCUAUGGGUUGUAAACUUCUUUUAUAUGGGAAUAAAAUGUUCCACGUGUGGGAUUUUGUAUGUACCAUAUGAAUAAGGAUCGGCUAACUCCGUGCCAGCAGCCGCGGUAAUACGGAGGAUCCGAGCGUUAUCCGGAUUUAUUGGGUUUAAAGGGAGCGUAGGUGGAUUGUUAAGUCAGUUGUGAAAGUUUGCGGCUCAACCGUAAAAUUGCAGUCGAAACUGGCAGUCUUGAGUACAGUAGAGGUGGGCGGAAUUCGUGGUGUAGCGGUGAAAUGCUUAGAUAUCACGAAGAACUCCGAUUGCGAAGGCAGUUCACUGGACUGCAACUGACACUGAGGCUCGAAAGUGUGGGUAUCAAACAGGAUUAGAGACCCGAGUAGUC
This 460-nucleotide ribosomal RNA is filed under the name uncultured bacterium. RNAcentral's name for it is "partial 16S ribosomal RNA". It matches the Rfam family "Bacterial small subunit ribosomal RNA", at positions 338 to 795 of the family's 1533-position model. The record is from RNAcentral.